Molecule: unclassified non-coding RNA, 896 nt
Filed under: Amphimedon queenslandica
Lineage: Eukaryota; Metazoa; Porifera; Demospongiae; Haplosclerida; Niphatidae
Description: uncharacterized LOC109580470, transcript variant X2
Source: RNAcentral
UGCCACGACUUUUGCAGCCUUGCUAUAGCCCAUGGUUUUUCCCAAAAAUUGGUCCCGAAAUGAUCCCCCAACAUUUCCUGAUCCAUAUUGAUGUCCUAUAUACUGAUGAGUGAUGGACCUACGUUAAUAAGAAAAGGGUUUCUCAAUGGCCAGACUGCAAUGCAUUGGGCAGCUAAGUUACAAUUACUGGAGGCACUGAUGUUCAGUGGUGGGAAAGUUGACAUCAAAUCAUUACUUUGUGUGUACUAUCAACUGAUGAGAAGAAACUGCUGCAAGAUGAUAUUCAUUAUUUUACUAAUUGGAGUUACUGCAGUAAGAAUAGAUGUAUCAUUUGGAUAUUGAUUCUUCUCAUGCUAAUAGAGAGCAACACCGACUACUACAAGCUUAACUAUGCUUUUGUUGAUCCUCCACUGCCUUAUAAAAAUGGUCAGCGUGUCAGCUAUGUUGCAAACAUUGACAUUUAUAAACAGGAAAACUGGCACCUUGUACAUAUUUUUGCAGCAGUUGAAGAGUCUUUUGGGAACAAGACAAUUAAUGUGGCCAUAAUAGAUGAUAACUUUAAUGCUUGUGACUUAGCUGUUGACAUUCUGCAUCGACCUUGUCCCAUACCUCCUGGAAAUUACAAUAUAUCUGGGACGUUUGACAGCUUUAAUUUGUUUCCAGUGGUAAACUGAAUAAUUCAUGAAGGUGCAUGUAAAUCACUUAUUAUAAAUAGGGGCAAUAUUUUGUCAAAACUGCUGUCUUUACAGAACAAGGAAAGAAAAUUGUUUGUCUUACUGCCAAUUUUACUGUAAUAAACUAGAUGUGUGUGUACAUUAAAAGUGUAUAUUUGAUACACUUUUCAUUCAGAAUUGUAGUGAACGUAUAUACUGUUUUCGUAGUUGAUAUGUUAGAAA